RNAcentral lists this microRNA (22 nucleotides) under Oreochromis niloticus (Nile tilapia). RNAcentral describes it as "oni-miR-10600". The record is from miRBase by way of RNAcentral. Lineage: Eukaryota; Metazoa; Chordata; Actinopteri; Cichliformes; Cichlidae.
UUCGACAUCUCUGGUUUAGACU